CCUACGGGAGGCAGCAGUGGGGAAUAUUGGACAAUGGGCGAAAGCCUGAUCCAGCAAUGCCGCGUGAGUGAUGAAGGCCUUCGGGUCGUAAAGCUCUUUUACCAGGGAUGAUAAUGACAGUACCUGGAGAAUAAGCUCCGGCUAACUCCGUGCCAGCAGCCGCGGUAAUACGGAGGGAGCUAGCGUUGUUCGGAAUUACUGGGCGUAAAGAGUACGUAGGCGGUUAUUCAAGUCAGAGGUGAAAGCCCGGGGCUCAACCCCGGAACUGCCUUUGAAACUAGAUAACUAGAGUCUUGGAGAGGUUAGUGGAAUUCCGAGUGUAGAGGUGAAAUUCGUAGAUAUUCGGAAGAACACCAGUGGCGAAGGCGACUAACUGGACAAGUACUGACGCUGAGGUACGAAAGCGUGGGGAGCAAACAGGAUUAGAUACCCUGGUAGUCCACGCCGUAAACGAUGAUAACUAGUUGUUCGGUCACUUGGUGACUGAGUGACGCAGCUAACGCAUUAAGUUAUCCGCCUGGGGAGUACGGUCGCAAGAUUAAAACUAAAUGAAUUGACGG
RNAcentral lists this ribosomal RNA (560 nucleotides) under uncultured bacterium. RNAcentral's name for it is "bacterial SSU rRNA". It matches the Rfam family "Bacterial small subunit ribosomal RNA", at positions 338 to 916 of the family's 1533-position model. The record is from RNAcentral.